GUUUAGUAGCUGAAGCCUGUUGGCCUCUGGAAAAGUGCAAUUGUAAUGUCAGAUGACUCAGCUCACCAGGUGAGCAAGAGGGUCUGUGCCUCUGCAAAACAAAGAAGUGAAAAAUUAAGAUGUAUUGCAGAGUGGUGCCUCUGUUUAUAGUUGCAGUGGCAACCAGGCUGACAGUGAAAGCAGGGGAAAAGCCCUCAGCACUCAAAAGGAAACUGAAAGAAUUGAGAAGAAAGGAUGGAUAACUGCACAGGAGAGUUUGUUUUCUACAAAUCUUCUGGCACUCUGCACAUCUCUCCUGGAGGCCUGUUGUUUAGGGGGCAGCAUCUGUGUGGUGCCAGGAACCAGGAAGCCACUUCUCAACAUUCAUGGGUCAUGGAUUCCUCUCUCAGUAUUCAUGUGACUUAUUUAUAAGUUUGAGCUAUGAUAACUACUGUGCAGCCAAGGAUGAUGACAUUGGGAAGUGGCUUCUUGAGUAAUUAUUGCAUUCUUUGAUCUUUAAUGCACAAGCUCAGGUACUCAGAUACACAGAGCCCUUCUGCCUGCAUUAUAAUGGCAUCUUUCCACCUGAUGAGUAUUUUCAUUGUUA
This 586-nucleotide long non-coding RNA is filed under the name Phasianus colchicus (ring-necked pheasant). Its description in RNAcentral is "lncRNA (ENSPCLG00000022048.1)". The record is from RNAcentral. Lineage: Eukaryota; Metazoa; Chordata; Aves; Galliformes; Phasianidae.